RNAcentral lists this ribosomal RNA (484 nucleotides) under uncultured bacterium. Its description in RNAcentral is "partial 16S ribosomal RNA". It matches the Rfam family "Bacterial small subunit ribosomal RNA", at positions 30 to 507 of the family's 1533-position model. The record is from RNAcentral.
AUUGAACGCUGGCGGAAUGCUUUACACAUGCAAGUCGAGCGGCAGCACGGGGGCAACCCUGGUGGCGAGCGGCGAACGGGUGAGUAAUACAUCGGAACAUGCCCAGUCGUGGGGGAUAACACUUCGAAAGAAGUGCUAAUACCGCAUACGUCCUGAGGGAGAAAGCGGGGGAUCGCAAGACCUCGCGCGAUUGGAGUGGCCGAUGUCAGAUUAGCUAGUUGGUGGGGUAAAGGCCUACCAGGGCAACGAUCUGUAGCUGGUCUGAGAGGAUGAUCAGCCACACUGGGACUGAGACACGGCCCAGACUCCUACGGGAGGCAGCAGUGGGGAAUUUUGGACAAUGGGGGCAACCCUGAUCCAGCCAUUCCGCGUGAGUGAAGAAGGCCUUCGGGUUGUAAAGCUCUUUCGGCAGGAACGAAACGGCGAGCUCUAACAUAGCUUGCUAAUGACGGUACCUGAAGAAGAAGCACCGGCUAACUACGUG